GGUGGUGGACUUCCGGAUCGUACUUAGGGAUUUGCCCGAACUUCCGGUAAAGGCAAGUAAAUACAGUGGUGGUUGCUACCGUUUGGGUUGCAUCCUAUUCCCUGACAUUGAGUAUGCAUAAGUUUUAAUUAUGUUAAUCAUUGAAUUCUAUGAUGAAGUUUAUUUGUUUGGAAGUAUUAAUUCUCAAUUGUCUAAUAUUGUGGAUGAUCAUAAUUUGGUAAUGAUAUAUGUGGUUGAUUCCCAUCUUGGAUGAAGUUGAAGUAUUUUUUUGAAUCACGUUAUAUGAAGUGUUGUAGGCAUGACAUGCUCAUCGCAUCAUCCAUCUUGCAUUUUGAAGUUAUGUCGUGAUCUUAUGGUCCGACCGUACCGGUACAUUUUUAGCAUCGUACGUUGCCCGAGGAGGGGUACGAUGCGGCUUCAUAUCCUUAGAGGUAUGAAGGCAGAAGUCAUCCUUGCAUUUGCAGACAUUUGCACUCAUGAGGUAUAUAUGAAGUGUGACAUUACUAUGUUACUAUUGUGGUUUCUACCUGCGAGGUGUGGUGACUAGGUGUGUUGUACGUUGUAUACGUGUUGCACCUUCGUAAUAAGAAGGUUGUGGAAUCAAGUGGUGGUAAAAACAAUGUUCUUAGGUGGUUAAACAGUUUGAUAUUAUUUUACUUGCUGAGAUGUGUCAUCUCACUCUUGCAUUACUCAAUGCAGGUACUUGAUACAUGUUGGGAAUGAGGGGAGUAGCAGCACGUCCACUUUCACUCUCACAAUAACGCUGCCCAGGCGCAGCCAUGAUUUAAUUAGAAACUUAUUGUCAAAGGAAGUUUGUUUUUUUAACUAGUCGUGCGCACUAGUUAAUUCACUUCAUGUCGUAUGUUUAACUUCUCUUUGUUAGCCGAUUAAUAAUACUUAGUAUGUUUUUGUCAUGAUAUAUGUUUAUACACUGUUGCCCCCUCAUUUAUGCAAUUUUGCAAGGGGGAUGCUGCCGAAAUUUUAUAUAUAGAUGUCAGAAGUGUUGUUUAGUAGCAUUCCGGGGUGUUGGUGGACCCCGGGGUGUUACAGUUGGUAUCAAAGCAUAGGCUUUAGAUUCUACGCAAUUUGAAGAUAAAUUUGACACACUUGCACAUAUAGGAAGGGUAUGGGUUCGUAUCUCUUUCAUAUUAGUAUUUUAUUGUAUAGAUGACUAGAACUUCCUUACUCCAAAUCCCUUUAUGGUUUGAUGGGGUAUGUCGUUAACGACGUAAUGCUUGAUAUGAUAUGUUACUUCUAUUUAGUAUUGGUUUCUUGAUGUGGUUGUUAUUGAAGAUAUUAUGCAAGUGAAGCUACUAAUGUACUUGUUUUAUAUACAUAUCGUCAUGAUGUUUUUUUGGGAUGCAAUGUUUUCAAAUCUCUGAGCUAUUACCAUCAUAUAUUUCUAUAUGCUUGAUUGUGGAUGUUUUUUUCCCAAAAGGAUUCUUGGGUUCUUGUACUUAUAGGACCAAUUGUUUAUUGAGCUUGUGUAUAGUGGGUCUAAUCCGACUUGGUGUAGUGUGAAAACACUAUAUAAUGUAGUUUUAUGUUGUUGUUGAGUUUGAUUGACUGUUGGGUUACAACCCAACUUAUCAAUGUAAUAUUUCCAUGGGUGCAAUGCUUUGCGCCUCACUUUUUUUAGGCUAGUGUGGCUACUUGCUAACUUGAUCUUAGUAUAAAAUUGGUUUGUCUCUAUAGAGCAGAUGCAACGUUGUAAUGUCUAUGAAAUCUUUAGACUGGUAAAACUCGAGUGAAUUUGUGACAUGACGUAGAUUGAUAAGUCCAACCAUGUCUACCUGAUAGGUUUUCUUAUUAUGUGCAACCUUAUUUUUAACAAUAAAUAGGGUGGUUUCAAGUGGAUUUUAUGUCGUGCAUGUUUUCCUUCUAUGGCUUGUUUCAAUAGCCAUAAAGGCUAUGCAUAUUUUUUAGUUGUUGCAGGCUAGUCAUGUGGGCGAUAUUGAUAUCCCGUUUUAUAUUUUUUUUAUUUGCCAACAUUGUAUGACAGUUUGAUUUUUUUAUGAGCAGUUUCUCUAUGCAUGCUUGUUGAAUCAUUAUUUGGACCGCUUUAUCUUAAACGAAGUCAAUGCUUAACUGGGAGUUGCUUAUGUUUGUUAGUCAUCGAUCUCUUUAAUGAUGGGGUUGUUGCAUCGGAUUGAGAUUUUUCUUAUAUGAAUGAUGGUUUGAUAGAUCAUGUAUGUCUACUACUUUGAAUGCAUCCUGUGAUAUCACGAAGUACAAAUUGUUCAAGUGCAGUAAUAGUAGGUUUUGUUGUAUGUGAGGUUAAUCAAGGUAGUUUGGUUAUGUGGAUUGUCUUAUGGACGUCCAAUUACUCCUAUUGAGCAUAGUAUCGUGUUAUUAUUUUAGUAUUGAAAGUAAUAUUUAUGAAGCUUUUGCAUGAGUCUGUGUCAAGAAGUACAUUAGUUUUUCUUGUUAUCCCUCCAUUGCUUUAUGAGUAUUGCAAAUUUUAUCUCUUUUGAGAGGAGGAAAAGACGUUACAUGACAUGAGCACCAUUUGCUUCACGUCAACAGAAUAGUUGUGGAGAGCUCUAAUAGUUGGAUUCUAGUGUAAUAACAACCAUGUUUUAUAGUGCUAGAGACGGGUAUGUCAGGUGUUUCAUACAUUGUCGAUACAUGGAUGUUUGACCUUAGUGGCAUUAACAAAUGAGGUUGUUGAAUUCGUUGAUUGUGGUGCUUAGUGUUCUAACCUAUUAGGUAAAGUGUUGCUUAAAGGCUUUGGGGAGUUGCAUCCCCAUUUGGUAGUGGAAAAUCCUAAUGUUGGUCGCACCUGCCAAUGCCUUGGGUUUUAUUUUAUAUUGUUUUUUAUUAUGGGUAAGGUGUUGUUUUGUUUUGGGAGUCAUUUUAAAUUAGUUGGAGGCUGAAUCAGGCUUCACUUAUCUAGAAUGUUUUAUAGUAGGUUUCUUCAUCUUUGCAUAGGAUGCUCAAUCACCCAGUUUGGUCUAAACAUUUGAGAGUUAUGGGUUUCCUAUAGCAGCCUUAAUUUUGUACGGAAGUAUAGACAUUGAAUACGGUAAAUUUUGGGUUUUGUUGGAUUAUGAAAGUUUUAGUAAUUUCAUGAUCUUCCCAAAGAGUAUUGGUUUGUAAUUUUCAUUGCAUAUAAUUGGAAUUAGGCUACUCUGAAAUUGUUGCACCGUUGUGUCUGAACUUUAGGUGUCAUUAAAACCACUAAUAAAUCGACCGCGUUUUGAUAGUUUCAGAGCCCAAAUUUGGGAAUUCUCUUUAAGAAAAACUUUUAGUUUUUCUUAGUACCUUUUAAUGGGUAUUUACUUGUAAUUGUCUGUUAAAUAGAUUGGGAGAGGUGGUUGUCCGGAUAUAAGUCGAAUCUCUGAUGUGCAGUAUCUCAGGCUGAGUUUAGCUGUAGGUCAUGCAGAGUUGAGGGCUAUAAAGAUAAAUUUGGGUGGAACUUUAUUGCAAAAGUCGUGGACAAUUUCCAAACUUUUCCAACGCAUGUUCGUUGUAGUUUUAAGUUGAGUAUAGCAGGAGUUAUAGUAUUUUGAAUUUUAGUUGUCCAUUGUUUCUAACCUAUCAGUUUUGCAACAAAGCAAUUGCAUUGUUUUAUCGGUUUGGAAACCAAUUCUGAGACACUCAUUAUAAUAAAAGUUUUAGGGAAUGUUAUAAUCUUUUCAAUGAGUUUAUAUUUGUAAAAUUUUGUUAGAUGCAGAGAGUUAUGAGGUUUUGAAUUUAUGGGUCAUGUUCCGUCAAGUUCUGGUGGCAGAUCAUGUAUGUCACCUUACAAGCCAAAUUAAAAAAAUGGAGAUAAAAAAACUUUGUUUAUCCUUUGAAUACAAAAGUUGUAGGUCAUGAAGUUUAGAUGAUUUUACAAUAUUUCUUUGUUAUCAUUGCUUUUAUAGUGAAAGAGGUAGAGACAGAAUGAGCAUUUGUGCUGUUGAUUGUCAAUUUUCUAUUUAGGGAUAUUUCUUUGGGAGUUUGGUUUAGUUAUGGUGAGCUCUUUCGCAAUCCAUGUUAAUUAUGUUGUAUGGUGGGAGGGAAUAGAUGUAGUGGUUGUGAUAGUUAUCUUGUUAUUGUAUAUGUGGAGCGUGGGCUAAAACAGAGAGAUAGCGAGGGAUAUUUGAAUAGGCCAGUACGUAUUGUUGUGAAGCCAUGUUUUCUGGUCUUGGCGUGUUUGCGUAAGUAUGAAAUAGUUACGUCGUGUGAAGUCUAGGUGGAGAUGCAGAUUGUCUGAGUUAUUGGAUGGAUAUAUGGGCAGGCAUAGUAUACUUAAAUUGAUUCUUGCUUGCAUGAUGUGAGAUCAGGCUUAAAAUGAUUUAAAAAAGUAAGCAUAUUGCUUCUACCCUUAUGUUGGCUCUAAGUGUCUCGUAAUGAAGAACCUAAAGUUAUUAGUCCUUCGAUGAACGCUUAAUCUUAGAAGAGUAUAGAACCUGAAUAAAUCUAUUGCUUGCUGUUUGGGACUACAUGACCAGUUUUGGUUAUGUCGCUAGUUCAAUGAAUUACACCAUGUUUUCGGUAGAGGUGUUGUAUAUAAAAAGUUGUAGCCAACUUCUUCAUCUUACUUGUGUAAAAUUUCAUGACCAUAGGUCUAGUAGUUUGGGAGUUAUGAUUUUCUCAAGUCUAGUCUUGGAAUCUGUCCAGAUUCUGUACAGAUUUCGAAACUAACCUUGUUUGCCCAAGUUAAACUUCGAAUCAGUUCUUAUAAAUUUUAAAGAAGUGGUAGUACUUUCCUUAAGCUUUCCAACAAAUUUUGGAUCACCCUUUUUGGUGACCUAUAAGUUAAGCUACAUCUGUUUUAAUUGGAAUCUUUGAAUGUGUCCAAAUUUGGACAGCAAAGCCUUUCUUAUGUAUUUUGAUCUUGAUAUGCAUUGAAUUAACCUGAUAGGUUUAUAAAUGAAAUAUAGACAAUUUUACUGGCUUUCUAAAAAGUCUAGGAGCGCCUGAAUGGGAUGACUGAGACUCCAAUUAUGGAUUUUUGAAGUGAGUAGUUGAAUUCUGUUCAAGUCUGGACAAAAUUUACGUUUCACAUUGUUUGGCCUUUCUAAGUGUCAAAUCUUGUGGUGAUGAUAAUACCAAGGGUAUAGUGGACUUUGUAAGCUUUCUAUAAAGUCCUAGUUUACUUCUAUUGGAUGAAUAUUUUGUGAGUUAUGAGGAAAACAAAUAACCGUUGUGCUGCUGUCUAGAAAUAUGCAAGCAUUAAAUUGAUCUUUUGAAGUUACUCUUGUUUGGAUAGGUUUGGUUUAGGCUAUUUGAGCACAGUAUGUAUUGCAUUCAUAUAUAUAUAUAUAUAUAUAUAUAUAUAUAUAUAUAUUUAUUUAUUUAUUGAAGUACUUGCAUGUGUCAAUGUUGAUUUGGUGUUAGGAAAGCUUUGUCCGAGUUAUAUAGGACCGUCUACUAUCUUAGCCCGAGUUGGCAGCUUGGCUUAGCACCUACAAUUGUCGGAGUCUAUGAUCAGAGUACACCAUAUAUUCCAUGUCUUUAUGUUGAGGAAGUAUUUGCGGAAUCCAGACCAUCAAAUCGAGCUAGAGCCGAUUCCUGUGUAGCAAGACCAGACUCUAGUGUCGUCUGCUGCGUAUCUUAGAAUCCUAGGAGCUUGAGGAGCUGAUGCGGCAGAAGUACCCGAACCUUUCUUUAUGUGUGAGUUUUGUUGAUUUAUUGAUCUUUCCUUGUCGUUCUGAUAGAAGCGUCGGAAUUCGAGGUCGAAUUCUUUUUAAGGGGGGUAGAGUGUGAUACCCAAUUUUCUGAAAAGAAGUUAAAUGUAUUUUUCCCUUUUCUUUCGUGAUCUGUGUAGUUGGGGUUGGAGUUUUUUAGGAAGCAUUCACCAAUAAAACAGUAGAAUACUUGUUGGAUUUGUGCGUUGGGGUCGGGAGCAGACGUGAGAGCGAGUUUGGGCCGUGGAUCUCGAUCCGGCGGUGGGGAGCCCAUUAGUUUCCCCCCCUAAACCCUAGCCGCCCCCUCCCUCUCACUCCCCCACCCCUUUGGCCGCCCCUCCCCUCUCUCUUCCACUCUUGCAGCCGCCCCAAUCCCUCUCCUUCUUCCCCAAGUGAUUGCAGCGCCACCCCUCAACCCUAGCCCCCCCCACCUCUUCCUCUCCAAGGUGGAGCCUCCCCGCUUGGUGUCCGUCGUGUGGGUGCGAGUCUUCCAUGGGAGUUUGGAGGGAGGAAGAAGGAAGAAAAGAAGGAGGAAAGGAGGAACCCAAGGUGAUUUUCGUGAUCAUUUUGUUGUAUUUGUGCUGCAAUCCAAUUGGUUACAUGUUUACCUAUGCGAUUUGGUAGAGGUGCUGUCCAGAAAUUUAGUGGGUGGACGAACAGCAGUAGUUCUAGUGAUUUCUGGGAAUUUUUCGUGGGCAAUUAGUAGGGAUCAGUGGGAGAAUCAUGUAGAGCUUUGUCAUACCUUUCUAACGAGUACUUAUGCGCUCGAUUUGGAGUUAUAAUUUAGGAGAUAUCGUUGUUUGAAUCCGGUUAUGUUGCUGUCCAAAAAAACAGAUUUUUCAGGUGGGUGAACAGCAGUAGUAUUAGUAGUUUCUGUGAAUUUUUUGUGGGUAAUUAGUGUUAACCAGUAUGAUAAUCAUGUAGGGCUUUGUCUUAUCUUUCCAAUAAGUACUUAUGUGCUUGAUUUGGAAUUAUAUUUUAAAAGAUAUCGCUGUUUGAAUCCGGGUAUGUCGCUGUCCAAAAGACAAAAAAACAGAUUACAGGGUUCAUCUUGUGGACUGUUUUGGGCUAAUUAGAUGUUGGAAUUUAAUUAUAAAUUGUAUACAAAACUUGUGGGGAAUUUCAUGUAGAUGCCUCUGGAGUUUUUGUUUGUUACCACUGCUGUCAUAAUUUUAAAGUUAUGAAAUUAUUAAGCAGCGCCGCUGCAGUUUGGUGGGUGUGGGGAGAGAUGUAACCCGCGGCGGGGUUUGAGUUUGUGCAUAGGUGCGGCAUCGUUUAUGAGCCUGAUUAUGUGAAAUUGGUGCACUAAGUUGUGUGUCAAAAACAGGUGGUGGACUUCCGGAUCGUACUUAGGGAUUUGCCCGAACUUCCGGUAAAGGCAAGUAAAUACAGUGGUGGUUGCUACCGUUUGGGUUGCAUCCUAUUCCCUGACAUUGAGUAUGCAUAAGUUUUAAUUAUGUUAAUCAUUGAAUUCUAUGAUGAAGUUUAUUUGUUUGGAAGUAUUAAUUCUCAAUUGUCUAAUAUUGUGGAUGAUCAUAAUUUGGUAAUGAUAUAUGUGGUUGAUUCCCAUCUUGGAUGAAGUUGAAGUAUUUUUUUGAAUCACGUUAUAUGAAGUGUUGUAGGCAUGACAUGCUCAUCGCAUCAUCCAUCUUGCAUUUUGAAGUUAUGUCGUGAUCUUAUGGUCCGACCGUACCGGUACAUUUUUAGCAUCGUACGUUGCCCGAGGAGGGGUACGAUGCGGCUUCAUAUCCUUAGAGGUAUGAAGGCAGAAGUCAUCCUUGCAUUUGCAGACAUUUGCACUCAUGAGGUAUAUAUGAAGUGUGACAUUACUAUGUUACUAUUGUGGUUUCUACCUGCGAGGUGUGGUGACUAGGUGUGUUGUACGUUGUAUACGUGCUGCACCUUCGUAAUAAGAAGGUUGUGGAAUCAAGUGGUGGUAAAAACAAUGUUCUUAGGUGGUUAAACAGUUUGAUAUUAUUUUACUUGCUGAGAUGUGUCAUCUCACUCUUGCAUUACUCAAUGCAGGUACUUGAUACAUGUUGGGAAUGAGGGGAGUAGCAGCACGUCCACUUUCACUCUCACAAUAACGCUGCCCAGGCGUAGCCAUGAUUUAAUUAGAAACUUAUUGUCAAAGGAAGUUUGUUUUUUUAACUAGUCGUGCGCACUAGUUAAUUCACUUCAUGUCGUAUGUUUAACUUCUCUUUGUUAGCCGAUUAAUAAUACUUAGUAUGUUUUUGUCAUGAUAUAUGUUUAUACACUGUUGCCCCCUCAUUUAUGCAAUUUUGCAAGGGGGAUGCUGCCG
Molecule: long non-coding RNA, 7917 nt
Filed under: Zea mays
Lineage: Eukaryota; Viridiplantae; Streptophyta; Magnoliopsida; Poales; Poaceae
Description: long non-coding RNA (ZMAY_LNC000051)
Source: RNAcentral